CCAUAUAUCCAACUGUGGCUAGGGUCAUGGUUUCUGUCAUCGAAUCUCCACCACCGAUGAGUCUUGCAAUGCCAAAAUCAGCAACAUGUGCAACCAUAUCAUCAUCUAAUAGUAUAUUGCUUGGUUUCACAUCACAAUGAACGAUAGGUACCGAGUAACCAUGAUGAAGAUAUUCCAGUGCCAAUGCAACAUCUUUCAUUACAUCCAGCCUCUGCAGGAUAUUCAUGGAGCGGUUUGGAGAAUACAACCAGUUUUCGAGGCUUCCAUUAGGCAUCAAUUGAAGUAUCAGGGCUUUGAAAUCAAGUUCAUCGCAGCAACUUAUGAUUUUAAUAAGAUUUCGGUGACGGAUAUUGCUUAGCAUUUCACAUUCCUUAUCAAAACUCUUGAAUGCCCCUUCUAGCUGUAAAUUGAAAACCUUGAUGGCGAUAUCUAUCCCGUCUGAAAGUGUUCCUCUGUAUACUGAGCCAAACCCCCCCCCGUGCCUAGUAAGUUACUUUCAUGAAAUCCAUUUGUUGCCUUUACAAGUUCUAGGCGCAAAACUCUUCUCCAAAGAACUUGAUGUAGCGAGCCAGUUUCUCUAACAACUUCGACAUUCCUUUUCUUGCAUAGUAUCAGAAUCAAUGCAGCAGCCGCUAGGAAUAUUACUGAUAUGACCCCUGAGAUGAUAUAUUUAGCUUUCCUCCAAUUUGGCUUCACUUUUGUUCUAUUUUUGCACAGUGGAACAUGGAGUCGGGAAGCACCACAGAGCGCACCGUUGGAUACAAAUGAAUCAGCAAAGAAGUUUCAGAAAGGCCCGCCGGUUGGAAUUUCUCCUGGAGUUUGUUGAAAGACAAAUUCAGAUGCUUGAGAUACAAGAGUGCUUCCAAUGACUUUGGGAUCUCUCCAGAUAGAUUAUUUUGGGACAAAUCCAAGAAUUCUAGCCUUAGCAAGGUUUUAAAUGAACUAGGAAUAGGGCCUUGUAAAUAAUUGUUUGCCAAGGACAAAUUAAUCAUAUUUUGAAGACCACCAAUGCUACCGGGAAUGUUUCCGGAGAAGUGGUUAUUUGAUAAAUCUAUAUCCACCACUUCUUUCAACUUUCCGAUGUCUUCUGAGAGUGGUCCAACUAGAGAAUUGGAUGACAAGUUUAGGUGCAGUACAUACUUGAGUUCCCACAAGGAAGAUGGUAUUUUUGAAGUUAACAAAUUGGACUCUAACGAUAGAUUUCUUAGAGCUACUGCCAACGCACCCAAGCAGGAAGGAAUAGAACCAGAGAGCCGAUUAUGACCCAAACCUAACUCGGCUAGGUUGUUUAGUUGACAGAGUUCAUACGGGAUAUGUCCUCCCAGUUCGUUAUUGUGCAAAUACAAACCUAGGAGAUUUUGUAGCCUUUGUAUUGAAGUUGGAAUUGCUCCGCUCAACUGAUUGAUUUCCAGAUGUAGUUCUAUCAAGCUGCUCAAGUUGGCAAUAUCAACGGGAAUGUUACCCCUGAUGUUGGAAAUGCUUAAAUCAAAAUAUGUGAGUGGCGUAGAGAGAUUCCCACGAAAAGCUGGAAUCGUGGUGUUUAAUGGAUUACCUCCCAAGUCUAGUAGUGUCAAAUUUCUAAGAUUAAACAAGCAAGAGAGAGUAGAAGCAUCAAUCGUCAAAUGAUUCCAGAACAAGACAAGACGCUCAAGGUUUUUCAAGGAACAGAGCGUGAUGGGAAGAAACCCGGUAAAAGAGUUUGUGUCCAUGUCUAGGGCCCUGAGCUUGGAAGCAUUGGAGAAGUUAGGGAGUGUCCCGGCCACGAGGUUAUUGGAGGAUACAGAAAAGAAUUCUAGGUUUGGAACGUUAAAACCUAUGUUUGCUGGGAGGCCACCUGAGAGCUGAUUUAAAGUAAGCGAUAUUACUCUAAUCAUGGAGUUAUUGAAGAGCUUGGAUGGGAUGACACCAUUGAGAUUAUUAGCACCCAGUCUCAAAACCUCUAAUUGCGGAAGAUCACCAAUCUCAUCCGGUAUUGUACCUAUCACAAUGUCAACACGUUUGCAUUAACUUUGUAACUUCAGUUUAUCUAAAAACUAAAAACGAAAUGAUUGUAAAACGCCCCCAAAUUUAUUACCUGUUAAAUUAUUGAAACGAAGAAAAAUCUCGGUUAAGUAGGUCAAAUUGCCAAGACUUUUGGGUAUGCUCCCACGGAAAUUGUUAGACUCUAAUGCAAUUACACGAAGCUCUUUGCAUUGCCACAGUUUGGAGGGAAUCAGACCGUCAAGCUGGUUUUGAUUCAAAGAAAAUCGUUGAAUACUCGAAAGAUGCUCACACAUAUUGUCCGGAAGAAUACCACUCAUGUUGUUUUCGGAUAAAGCCAAAGUAGUCAAAGAAGAUAUGUUAAGGACAGGCACAAAAGCAGAGCCUUUUAGGGCAUUGUCCUGCACAAACAACUCCUCCAGCUGACCUAAACUGCCUAUCUCGUUCGGAAGUUCUAUAAAAUCAAUCCGUGUAUAUUGUUAAAAUCAUGUAUACAUAUAUAGGAGCAGCUUCUUAGUGGGAAUCCCGUUGUACCAUAGCAAAAGUGGGAUACAUUUUAAGGACCAUGUACUCACCAUAUAGGACCUCUUUUUUGCUCUAGAAUACGAGGGUCUUACACGGUCAAUAUACGAUCCUACAAUAGUCCUCUCAUCUCAUUUUUGCUGAAGUUGAACAAGAUCCCAGCUAAGAAGGGGCUUGUGUUUAUGUGUGUGUGUGUGUGUUUGUAUAUAUAUGUAACAAAACCUAAGUCAUACAGUAUACCUUCGAACUUGUUGUCGUCAAGGUAUAUGCCCUUCACCAUUGUUAAGUUGCCUAUUUCUCUGGGUAUGCUACCUGUUAAAUAUGUGCAUGCAUUCCAACAAAAAAGAAGGAAAAAAAAAACAAACGAGAUGAUUGUUAUACAUCUUAUAUAUAGAGGUUAAAAUGAAACAAAGAUGUUAAAAUGUAAUGAUGAAGCAAGCAACAUUAAUUUAUAUUCCUAGGUAGUUGGUAAUGGUGGUAUGUACGUACCCGAUAGUUGGUUCCUCAUCAGGUAAAUGUUUUCGAGUGCAGAUAAGUUGAAGAUAGCAGCGGGUAUGAAACCAGAGAAGUCAUUAUCGUACAAUUUGAUGGUUUGAAGUUUAGCAAAGGACCCAAACCACAAAGGAAUGGUUCCCAUAAAGCUGUUGUUUCCAAAGUUAAUCGCCUUCAACCGGCACAAACGAGGCAGUUCUUGGGGUAGGGGACCAUGAAAACUAUUAUUCUGAAGGCCCAACUCAACGAGAAAUGAGAGGUUGCCAAGAUGCGGAGGAAUAAGUCCGGCAAGACCCAUGUACGGGAUAUUUAAGGCCGUGACUCUGUGGUGGCGAGCACAGCAGGUAACGCCAACCCAGUUGCAAAUGUUGGAAUUGGAGGCAGAGGACCAGUUGGCGGUCAAGAUGUUUUGAGGGUGAGCCUUGAGAGCAAGAAGCGCAGAUUGAUCUGUGCUGAAAUUGGUAUGAGCUAUUGCUAAUGCUCCUGCAGUUAAGUAAUUAGCCACAAUCAUCAUAUAGAUAUAACACAAGCAUUGUAUCAUCGACAACAUCUUUGAUAGUAGGAAACGACUUCUCACCUUAAUUGUAGUAGUUUUCGUCUUUCGGUAUAAAUUCAAUCGAAAACUAGAACUCAUUACAUUCACAUAAAUAGGGAAACAAGUUGGUGUUACCAAGACUUGCGAACGACUUUAGUACUGGUUUGGUACUGAGGUGCUUUUAUAAAAAGUGGGUAUAAAAAAAAACUGAGCUCAAAAAGGUGUUUGGUAAACACUUAAAAACAGUUUAUUUUCACAUUUUUGGGUGAAAAAAAAUUAAAAGCGUGAAGCAGCAAAAAUAAGCUUAUUCUCACAGCACAAAAUAAGCAGUUUUUUUUUCAAAGCACAGCAAUACCAAACCAGCCCUUAGACUUGCCUGGCUUCUAUGUCAAGGUGAGGAGACUUUAGAUUUUUUAACAUAUCAAACACACACCAAAAUUAGGAUGAUGCAAUAAAUUAGGUUUGUGUUACCUUUUGGUUUUGGUAUCCUAUUUGGGUUUGGUUUUGACUUCUUAGUUAGUUUCCUUGGUGGAGAAAUUUUGUUAAUUACCUAUUUGAUUAGGUUUUGGAUUUAUUUGCUAUUAGGAUUCCUAUUGUAACCUAAGUUCUAUGCACUAUAAAUAGGACCUUAGGGUUAGUGUAUUUUGUGUAGCUCAUUCGUGUGGCAAUUUGGUGAGAGUCAAUUUGUGAGUUUGUGAGUUAGAGAGCAAUUUGGGAGAAUCUUCUCCGUUAGUUUGAGUUCUCUACUCAUUUGGUUUAGGUUUUGUAAUUUGUGGGAUUUGGGUUGUGAGAGUUUAAACACUCUUUUGUAAUCUCCAUUUGUUUAGUGAAAUUCCUCGCCGUGCUUCGCCCGUGGAGUAGGCUUUACGCCAAACCACGUAAAUCUCGUGUCAGUUUGAGAUUAUUUGUUUUUGCUUUCACCUACGACGUUCAUAUUUGGUACUUUGUUAUAAUUCGCUUCCAUUUGCACAUAAAAGUACAACAAGUGGUAUCAGAGCCCAGGUUUCGGCUUGGGCUUUGCUUGGUAGUCACUAUGAAGCCUUCUGUGUCAUCGGUGAAAGUUGAUAUUGAAAAGUUCGACAGCAAUGACUUUGGUAUUUGGCAAUUGAAGAUGCGUGCUUUGUUAGUUCAACAAGGGCUUUUGAAAAUGCUAAAGGGUGUGAAGGCUUUGCCGAAUUCGUGGACUGAUGAAGAAAAAGAAGACGUUAUGGAGCGGGCACUUGGAGCAAUCCUGCUGACUUUAUCGAAUGAAGUCUUGCGUGAAGUUGGUAGCAUCAAAUCUGCACUGGAGUUGUGGAUAAAAUUGGAGAGCUUGUAUAUGACCGAAUCUCUUGCUAAACGGUUGUAUUUGAAGAAAAGUUUGCAUACUCUUCGUAUGGAUGAAGGUACGUCAAUUCAUAAGCAUGUUGAUGAAUUCAAUAAACUUAUGAUGGAUUUGAAAAGUGUGGACAACCAAAUUAGUGAUGAGGAUUAUGCGAUAACUUUGUUGUGUUCUUUAUCUCCUUCAUAUGAACACUUUGUCGAUACCAUGCUAUUUGGUAGAGAAAGUCUUAGUUUUGGAAGAUGUUAAAGUCGCUUUGAAUUCUAAAGAGCUGAAGAAUAAAGUGUCUGACACACAAGAUGGAGCUUUGGUAGUUCAAGGAAGGAAUAAGGAAAGGAGCAAACUUGGAAAGAACACUUGUAGCUAUUGUUAUAAGGAUGGUCAUUGGAAAGUAGAUUGCCCUAAACUCAAAGGCAAAAAGAAGUUGUUUGAUAAGUCUUUUGCUAGUGUUGAUGCAAACAUUGCAGAAGAUCGUUGUUCUGAACUCCUCUAAAGGUUAUGUGAAGAGGUGGAGCUUGGUACUCAAGCUCUUUGGGUGGAGUGCAAUUCGCACUUUUUGUUCGUAUGUUCAAGCUUUUGCUUGGAUUUUAUUUUGUAUUUGUUAGUUUCCAUAAUGGAAUUUGUUGGAAAAGGCGUUGGAGGAAAUUUCAAGUUUGAAGACUUUUGGAUUUUUUGAGUCUAGGUGGAGAUCAGUUUUCGAAAGAAUUUGGUGCACGUUUGCGUUUGUAUUUUGGUAUCCCAAAUUUGGAAGUUUGCUAAUUUCUUUUCGAGGUGGAGAUUGUUGGGUUUUUGGCUCAAAAUUAGGAUGAUGCAAUAAAUUAGGUUUGUGUUACCUAUUUGGUUUUGGUAUCCUAUUUGGGUUUGGUUUUGACUUCUUAGUUAGUUUCCUUGGUGGAGAGAUUUUGUUAAUUACCUAUUUGAUUAGGUUUUAGAUUUAUUUGCUAUUAGGAUUCCUAUUGUAACCUAAGUUCUAUGCACUAUAAAUAGGACCUUAGGGUUAGUGUAUUUUGUGUAGCUCAUUCGUGUGACAAUUUGGUGAGAGUCAAUUUGUGAGUUUGUAAGUUAGAGAGCAAUUUGGGAGAAUCUUCUCCGUUAGUUUGGGUUCUCUACUCAUUUGGUUUAGGUUUUGUAAUUUGUGGGAUUUGGGUUGUGAGAGUUUAAACACUCUUUUGUAAUCUCCAUUUGUUUAGUGAAAUUCCUCGCCGUGCUUCGCCAGUGGAGUAGGCUUUACGCCAAACCACGUAAAUCUCUUGUGUCAGUUUGAGAUUAUUUGUUUUAGCUUUCACCUACGACGUUGAUAUUUGGUACUUCGUUAUAAUUUGCUUCCGUUUGCGCAUAAAAGUACAACAAUGAUGACAUACAUUUUGAUUCAAAUGCAAAUGCAAAUGCGACCAAACACAUAACAGUCACAUUCUUCCGGUUGAAAUGUUUUCGACGGCGUUUACAUAUAAUCAAGCUCUCGUUGAACACUCUUCGGAUUCGAAAAUCAUCUAAACUUGGCUAAUUAGUUUUUCUGAACAGAACAAAGCAAAGAUGAUACGCAAACGGUCCAAGAAUUACGGUCUUAUGCUUCUAAAUUAUUAAUCACGAUCGCAUGUAAAAAUUCAUUGCAGCAAUAACGAAGAAGGGAAGCAACAACCCGAGAUUGAAAAUUAGUUCAGAUACGUACAUUCACUAUCAUGCAGACUUGCCAUUGGAGACAGCUCUGAAUAUGCAAAGGCUUUUUUAUAUGACUGCAACAAGAGAGGACAUACCACGCUUAGAGAUGAAGCAGGCCUGCACCUGCAAGCCACGGUGGUAAUCGAAUUCCAGUGAAAGGGGCCAAAACUCCAGCCCCCACCGGCAUGCUGAGGAUAUUGUAGCCCCGCGCCCAGAUAUAAUUCAAUCGAAUUCGAGACAUGGUCUUUCUAGAGAGAUCAAUGGCUGUAACUACAUCUUCCAAGUUGCUCUUCAUCAGAACUAUAAGCAGCUUCUAUACGUCGGUGCCAGCACCAAUUGCCAUGCCAACAUCUCCUGCAACAAUGGCCAGAGAGUCAUUAAUUCCAUCUCCCAUCAUUGCCACCGCCAUUCCUUUCAUCUGCAUCCAAAUCCACUUUAACAAGUCAGAAAACACUAUGUUAGAUAGAUAACUCACAUAUCAAGUCAGAAACAACUUAAUAUAGAAAAAUGAGUUUGAAGAUUUGCAUAAGACAUUAUUUUACCCUAGAUAAGUCAUUUGAAAUAUAAUUUAGUAAUCCUCAAUCUGCGUUCAAAACCCGAACAAAAUUACUUGUGGAGCUGGGUAAUUGUAAUCCACUCACACCACCCCUGUAACUAUAAUAUAAUCGUAACUGUAAUUCUUUGAUUCUAUCAGCUUUUCCUAGUGGAUCCGUCUCAGCAUACAGCUUAUCAAUGCCAACCUCCAUCACUCUGGCUGCCGCUGUAGCCCAGUUAUCACCAGUAACCAUGAUGCUUGUAAUGUUUAUCGAGUGAAGAUAAGAGAUGACUCGUGCAGCCUCUAGCUUCACUGGAUCAGUUACAGCAAAAGACCCAGCAAUCUUUCCAUCAAUGGAAACCAACACACACAUUCGAGCUAGAUUAUUAUGUUCUGAAAUGUACUUGUCAACCUCAGGACCAACCUGGACAUUAUUUUCCCGCAUGAGCCUCACCAAUCACCAUUUACCUACAUAUUUCUCAAAUAGAGGCAUGUUAGCAUGAUUGACAAAAUAAUUUUACAAUAGCAUAAUAACAAUGAGGUGUCUCAUCUGUAACUUAACUGUACAAACUAAAACUUUUCAUGUAAAAAUUUGAAACAUAAGCACCAACCUCUGUAACAAUAGACACAACACAGAACUCCUCCAUUGAGUAAUUGGAGAAGAGCACAGCAUUGGCUACUACGGGUUUCCCAACUGCCAGAGUCCCUGUUUCAUAAAAAACAACUAUUUUCACUGGCAGGGAUCAAACACGGCCGUAAACGUCCAGACACCAACAAAGUGUCAAAUACUAAGAAACGUAUCAACCUUCAUGAAUUAGGUACCGUCUGUUCAGCUUUUAAUUUUGGAAAGAACAAAACCCCCAAAAAGGACAAAACAAUUAAUAGCCUUGUCAUAAAAAAAAGGAGUUGGGGUAGAGAGAACUCUCCUUCAAUGAGAGCUGUCAUCUACAAGAAAUGGGGAGUUAAAACUUGGCGAGUACGGCUUGGUGACAUGGACAAGGUGCAUACAGCCAUCAAUCGUCCAGAACCAAUGGGUCAUAUGAGACAGAUUCCAACUAUGAAAUAAUAGUUGCAUGUUCAAUCCCAAUAUAUGCAGGAAGAACAUCCUCCGUACCCAAUGACAUAGAUUGCAUUUAGUUUUAUGUCAAGAGCCUAAACAUUGAUUGAACCAAGGCAGACCGUUUUACUGGUCAGGAAUGAAGUGCAUAACUUGUAAUCAUACGGAACAUUCACAUAAUGUAUGGUGGUAGCAUAGGGGAUAAUAUGAAAUGACCAGAACAAUAUGAGGAGAGCAACUUCAUAAUGGAGGAAAGGAAAGAAAAAAAAACUACACUUGCACCCUCAAGACAUAUAGAGAAUGUAUCUAAUCAGAAAUUGUUUUUUCCUAAACCACAACAAACAGGUUUUCGACGUCCUCAGAAGGAAAAGUAGGAACAAGCAUAAUGAAGCAACUAAACACACCAGCAAAAACAACAUGAAAAUAAAAUGCAUGAAAACCAGAUUCUAAAUUAAAAAAGAAAUUUGUUUCCAAGGAUAAGGUGGUCUUACCUUGUAAGCCUUUUUGAGUACACUAGCAAAAAUGCCCACACUCCGCUGCGGGGACUUCUAGAAGUAUGAUCUUGUACCAUCUGAUUUCUUUUGCCAUUCCUAGUUCUUUUUGGCAUCAUGUGCAAACCCAAAUUGAUAGCUAGGAAGAAAAAAUGAAAACACCUGCAUAAAUUCAAUUUUCCAUCACUCCUAUAUUAUAAUUAAAUAAAGCAAAACACAAUAAUCAUCGCACAAUUACAGAAGCAAGGACUUUCAAAUGCCCCAAUUAGUUAACAACCACUAUGCAUAAUUCUGAAAAAAUGAGUAUAAAAUUAACCUCUUUUGAAAAACGAAGGAAGAAAGAUGAAACCUUAAGCCAAGGAAUAUAACUAUGUUGAACUCAAUUAUUUGACAUUAAUUACACAAACCCAAUUCCAUAUAUAUAGCCAGACAGAAGCUUUAUCCUAGAGAGAAACCAUGCCCAAAUGAUUAUAUAAUCUCCAGACUGAGUGUGAAUUCAGAGCAUGAAGGGGAAGUGAGCUCCUUGGUUCCCACAUUGUAGAGACUAAAUCUCAAAACUUUGCCAAGCAUGACAGGAAACCAUGGAAAGAAUAAAAUGACCACAAAGAUUGCAAAACAAUUAACCACAGGUGGUGUUUAUAUGCCCACUGAGAGAAAAGCUUCUGCAAGUGAAAAAACAGGCAUGUACCAUCUGAAAGAGCCUCUUGUAUCCAUUCCAAUUAUACUUAUGUCUACCAUAUCCCUCUACAAUUCCCCACCACCAAUCAACCAUAACUGAUUUCAAUACCCUUAGCUGCUUUAGUAGACCAUCUGGUGACACCUAACAGACACCAAAAUAAAAGACAAGAUCAAGACCAUACAGAUUACAGACUAAGCUUAAAAACAACUGUUAUCUAUUGAGCAAAACUUGAACUCCUUGACAUGGCAACCUCUUAAUCCAGGAUGUAGAGUAGGAAAGAAAAAUUAUUGACAAACCGAAAAAUAACAAUUUAACUUGCAUAGAAAACGAAUAUUAGAAAAGUUACAUAACUCAAUGGAUUACAUAAACCAGUAAAAAAGCGAAACAUCAGUGUUUGGGAAGUUACCUUAUUUGAAACGUCAGGAGCAUUUGGUGUUCAUACAGGGUAGACAGUCCUUGCAAAAUUCAGGGCUUCAAAAUAAAAUAAAAAAAUAAAUUCAAAACAAAUCAAAACUAUUAAUCCUAACAACUAUUUAGUAAAGGAUAAAACAAUCUUUCCAUCAACCAAAUUUGAGAAACAAGUAAUGAAUGGAAUAACCCAAUUUCUAUCGCCAAUCACCCUUGCUGAAUGAUGAUUCACAUACUUCCUCAUAUUUGUUUAUGGGUUCGUAUCCAACAAAAUUUCGACUUAGUACCCAAAAACUGUAUCAGCUCACGAACACACAGAGGUUUAUCAAAUUGAAAGCAAAACCCACAUAUAUUCUCAAGAUUCUAGAGUUAAAAGAGGAGCAAGGAGGUUCGGUUACAGAACCCAAAACGCUAUUUUAAUGAGCAAAUGAAAAACAUGUCUUUCGAUCGAAGUUGCAUAAAUUACAUAACUUUGGGAUUAAGGAGGAACAACAACAACAACAACAACAAAGCCUUUUCCCACUAAGUGGGGUCGGCUAUAUGAAUCCUAGAACGCCAUUGCGCUCGGUUUUGUGUCAUGUCAUCCGUUAGAUCCAAGUACUCAAGUCUUUUCCUAGGGUCUAUUCCAAAGUUUUCUUAGGUCUUCCUCUACCCCUUCGGCCCUGAACCUCUGUCCCGUAGUCAUAUUUUCGAACCGGAGCGUCAGUAGGCCUUCUUUGCACAAGUCCAAACCACCGGAACCGAUUUUCUCUCAUAUUUCCUUCAAUUUUGGCUACUCCUACUUUACCUCGGGUAUCCUCAUUCUCAAUCUUAUCCUUUCUCGUGUGCCCAUACCUCCCACGAAGCAUCCUUAUCUCUGCUACACCCAUUUUGUGUACGUGUUGAUGCUUCACCGCCCAACAUUCUGUGCCAUACAACAUCGCGGCCUUAUUGCCGUCCUAUACAAUUUUUCCUUGAGCUUCAGUGGCCUACGACGGUCACACAAACACGCCGGAUGCACUCUUACACUUCAUCCAUCCAGCUUGUAUUCUAUGGUUGAGAUCUCCAUCUAAGUCUCCGUUCUCUUGCAAGAUAGAUCCUAGGUAGCGAAAACGGUCACUUUUUGUGAUCUUCGCUAGAUUGCUCCGGUCAUUAGUGUGGAUAAGUAUAUAAAUGGAUAGAGAUAGGAAAGCAAACACAAGAUGUAUGUGGUUCACCCAGAUUGGCUACGUCCACGGAAUAGAUGAGUUCUCAUUAAUUGUGAAGGGUUUACACAAGUACAUAGGUUCAAGCUCUCCUUUAGUGAGUACAAGUGAAUGAAUGAUUUAGUACAAAUGACAUUAGGAAAUAUUGUGGGAGAAUGAUCUCGUAACCACGAAACUUCUAAGUACCGGAGUGUGGUAUCGUCUUGACUUGCCUUAUCUGUCUCAUAGGUAGAUGUGGCAUCUUCUCUGGAAGUACUCUUCCUCCAUCCAGGGGUGGUAUCUAUAACUGGUGGAGAUGCACAAGGUAAUGUAUCAAUUUCACUUGAAGCUUACUUGUAGUUUCAGGCUUGGUCAAGCGCGAUACAAACCAUGUAGUAGGAGUCCCCCAAGUCGCCGAGCUAGGGGAUCUUCUGGAAGAGGUGACAGACAAGGUAAGCAAUCAGAUCUCUGGCUGAUUGUUCACAUUCUCCCUAUCUUGCAGGCAGCAUGAAGGAUAAAGAGAAGAAAAAUGAGAAGAGAUGAUAUGGGAUACUUUUGCUUUUGAAGAAGUAACUUUCCACAGGCUUAUUCUUGAACUGGGCUGGAGGGUUUUCUGGUUUCCUCCAGAGUAUAAGGCCGACUGAAGAAUUUGAGGGUCAAAACAAGUUCAUCAAAUCUAGAGUACGUUCGACCCUGCUGAUAUGGGAUACUUUUGCUUUUGACAGAGUAGUGGAUGUAUCGGCACGUGUGCUGUUACGCUUGUCUCCACAUGCUUCCUUGUAUCCUUCUCACUUGCCCUAUCUGUUCCUCAGGCAGAUGCGGUAUCUUCCCUGGAAGCAUAAGAUGUUGAAGAUGAGUACUCGAGAGCAAUGCCAGGUAAGUAAUCAGGUAAGGGGUUCCAGGCAGUCAGUUCCUGGCUGGAAGCUUGAUUCCAAGUGCUGACUGAUUGCUCUCUUUCUCCUUGUCUUGCAGGUAAGAACAAGGCCAAAGGAAAAGACAGGGAAAAAGCAUGAUAUGGGAUACUCUUGCUUUUAACCCUGAUGAUAUGAGAUAUUCUUGCUCUAGUAUAGCUUGUUUACAGAGGUAUUAUCGGGGGGAAAGAAAGCUGAAUAUUUCGAAAGGCUUCGUUGGGAGUGCCCUCUCAGAUAAGAGGAAGGGUUGAGCAUUUUUGCAGGUCUGCCUGUCCGUUGGGGAUGGAGGUCGACAUAUAUAGGAGUCUCCCUAACAUCAAGUAAUAAUGCUAUUCCUUUACCCUGCUUGGUCAUAGCACGGUAGUGGGAGCUGCCAGCUUCACAUGUUUUAACUCUGUCAGAGCACUUUGAAAAAGUGGUCUGUGGUAUCUGGAAAGCUGAUGUUGCGUUUGAAGAUUACAGACAAGCUUUAUCCAAGGAGAUCGAGCUCUUAAAGUUGGGAAAGUGGUGCCUCUUCGGUUUUUGAACAAGCAAUCCUGUCGGGGAUCUGGCUCUCGAGAUUCGGAGAACGAUGCCUCUUCGAUUUUUGAGAAAGCAAUCUUGCUGGGGGUCUGGCUCUCGAGAUUCGGAGAGCGGUGUCUCUUCGAUUUUUGAGAAAGUAAUCAUGUUGGGAGUCUGGCUCUCGAGAUUCGAAGGGCGGUGCCUCUUCGAUUUUGGAGCAAGCAAUCUUGUUGGGAGUGUUUUCUCGAAUGUGAGUAAAGGUUGGGCAUGUUUGCUAGUCUACCUUGCCACGAAGCACAGAGGUUGACACACAGGGACUUUCCAAUUAUCCAGCAGUGGUACUGUUCCUUUACCCUCUCUUCGAUUUUUUUAGAAAGUAAUCAUGUUGGGAGUCUGGCUCUCGAGAUUCGGAGGGCGGUGCCUCUUCGAUUUUGGAGCAAGCAAUCUUGUUGGGAGUGUUUUCUCGAAUGUGAGUAAAGGUUGGGCAUGUUUGCUAGUCUACCUUGCCACGAAGCACAGAGGUUGACACACAGGGACUUUCCAAUUAUCCAGCAGUGGUACUGUUCCUUUACCCUUGUGGGUAAUAAUAUGGUAGCUAGACCUUCAAAAUUUAUGUGUCUAAACUUUGUUAGUGUUGUUUCUUUGCUAUUCUUUUACCCUUCUUGGUCAGAGCGAUGUAGUGGGAGCUGCAAGCUUCACGUGUCUCAACUUUGUCAGAGAACUUUGGCAAAGUUAUCUGUGGUACCCAUGAGCUACUGUUGCGUGUGGGAAGUGGGUGAUUGAACAGUAAGAUUCAUGUGCUUUUCUACUUCGCCAGAAAUCUUCGACAGAAUGCCCAUAAUUUCCGCAAAGCUGAGUGUGCGUGUGACAGGUGCUGACAAGGCUGGAAAAGUAGGUGCCUCUUCGAUUUCUGAGAUCGGCCCUCGUGGUCUCUGAGCAGCCCAGCUUUUGAGAAAAGCAAGCCUCUUUCGAUUUCUGAGAUCGGCCUUCGUGGUCUUUGAGCAGCCCAGCUUUUGAGAAAGCAAACGCCUCUUCGAUUUCUGAGAUCGACCCUCGUGGUCUCUGAGCAGCCCAGCUUUUGAGAAAAGCAAACGCCUCUUCGAUUUCUGAGCAGGCGCCUCUUCGAUUUCUGAAGCUUCCGUCGAGUGCAGAUUUUUAUAGGGGCUGGCAUUAAGUUCCAAAGCACACUUGAAUCUCCACCAGUAGAAGCUCCAUUCUUGCACUUCUAAGAUCUUGAUUUGUCCGACCUCUUCUCUCUUCAACACCUUUGAAAAUGUCUGGCCCCUCCGACCGUCGUUUUGACUUGAACCUUGUUGAAGAGGCAGCCCGCCUUCUCCAGACAACAUAUGGCGCCCAUCCUUCGUCUCCCCUACUGGUCCUCUUACCGUUGGGGAUUCCGUGAUGAAGAAUGAUAUGACCGCUGCGGUGGUGGCCAGGAACCUUCUCACUCCCAAAGAUAACAGACUACUUUCCAAACGGUCUGAUGAGUUGGCUGUUAAGGAUUCUCUGGCUCUCAGUGUUCAGUGUGCAGGUUCUGUGUCUAAUAUGGCCCAACGCCUAUUUGCUCGAACCCGCCAAGUUGAAUCAUUGGCGGCUGAAGUGAUGAGUCUCAAACAGGAGAUUAGAGGGCUCAAGCAUGAGAAUAAACAGUUGCACCGGCUCGCACAUGACUAUGCUACAAACAUGAAGAGGAAGCUUGACCAGAUGAAGGAAUCUGAUGGUCAGGUUUUUACUUGAUCAUCAGAGAUUUGUGGGUUUGUUCCAAAGGCAUUUAUUGCCUUCGUCUUCUGGGGCUGUACCGCGUAAUGAAGCUCCAAAUGAUCAACCUCUGAUGCCUCCUCCUUCUAGGGUUCUGUCCAGUACUGAGGCUCCGAAUGAUCCCCCUCCGGUGCCUUCUCUUUCUGGGGCUCUACCGACUGCUGAGACUUCUCCUAAGCAACCUUUGUGAAGGCUCCCUCUUGUUUGUUUAUUUUGACUCAUGUAUAUGUACAUAUUUGUAACUUAUCGGGGAUAUCAAUAAAUAAGCUUUCCUUCAUUUCAACGUAUUGUGUUAAAUACACCAAAGCCUUCUUCGCUAAGUUCUUUGAAUUUUUCUUUUGUUGAAGCUUGUAUGUUGAAGCUUUGUGAGUGGAGCAUGUAGGUUGAGGGUAGUGUUCCCUUAAUUUCCCGAGUGAGGAAAACUUCUCGGUUGGAGACUUGGAAAAUCCAAGUCACUGAGUGGGAUCGGCUAUAUGAAUCUUAGAACGCCAUUGUGUUCUGUCCUGUGUCAUGUCCUCCGUUAGAUCCAAGUACUCUAAGUCUUUUCUUAGAGUCUCUUCCAAAGUUUUCCUAGGUCUUCCUCUACCCCUUCGGCCCUGAACCUCUGUCCCAUAGUCGCAUCUUCUAAUCGGAGCGUCAGUAGGCCUUCUUUGCACAUGUCCAAACCACCGUAACCGAUUUUCUCUCAUCUUUCCUUCAAUUUCGGCUACUCCUACUUUACCCCGGAUAUCCUCAUUCCUAAUCUUAUCCUUUCUCGUGUGCCCACACAUCCAACGAAGCAUCCUCAUCUCCGCUACACCCAUUUUGUGUACGUGUUGAUGCUUCACCGCCCAACAUUCUGUGCCAUACAGCAUCGCCGGCCUUAUUGCCGUCCUAUAAAAUUUUCCCUUGAGCUUCAGUGGCAUACGGCGGUCACACAACACGCCGGAUGCACUCUUCCACUUCAUCCAUCCAGCUUGUAUUCUAUGGUUGAGAUCUCCAUCUAAUUCUCCGUUCUUUUGCAAGAUAGAUCCUAGGUAACGAAAAACGGUCGCUCUUUGGUAUUUCUUGAUCUCCGAUCCUCACCCCUAACUCGUUUUGGCCUCCAUUUGCACUGAACUUGCACUCCAUAUAUUCUGUCUUUGAUCGGCUUAGGCGAAGACCUUUAGAUUCCAACACUUCUCUCCAAAGGUUAAGCUUUGCAUUUACCCCUUCCUGAGUUUCAUCUAUCAACACUAUAUCGUCUGCGAAAAGCAUACACCAAGGAAUAUCAUCUUGAAUAUGUCCUGUUAACUCAUCCAUUACCAACGCAAAAAGGUAAGGACUUAAGGAUGAACCUUGAUGUAAUCCUACAGUUAUGGGAAAGCUUUCGGUUUGUCCUUCAUGAGUUCUUACGGCAGUCUUUUGCUCCUUCAUACAUAUCCUGUAUAGCUUGGAUAUAUGCUACUCGUACUCCUUUCUUCUCUAAAAUCCUCCAAAGAAUGUCUCUUGGGACCCUAUCAUACGCUUUUUCCAAAUCUAUAAAGACCAUGUGUAAAUCCUUUUUCCCAUCUCUAUAUCUUUCCAUCAAUCUUCGUAAGAGAUAGAUUGCCUCCAUGGUUGAGCGCCCUGGCAUGAACCCGAAUUGGUUGUCCGAAACCCGUGUCUCUUGCCUCAAUCUAUGCUCAAUGACUCUCUCCCAGAGCUUCAUUGUAUGACUCAUUAGCUUAAUACCCUUAUAGUUCAUGCAAUUUUGUACAUCGCCCUUAUUCUUGUAUAUAGGCACCAAAGUGCUCGUUCGCCACUCAUUUGGCAUCUUCUUCGUUUUCAGAAUCCUAUUGAAAAGGUCAGUGAGCCAUGUUAUACCUGUCUCUCCCAAAACUUUCCACACUUCGAUUGGUAUAUCGUCUGGGCCUACUGCUUUUCUAUGCUUCAUCUUCUUCAAAGCUACAACCACUUCUUCCUUCCGAAUUCUACGAUAAAAAGAGUAGUUUCUACACUCUUCUGAGUUACUCAACUCCCCUAAAGAAGCACUUCUUUCAUGUCCUUCAUUGAAAAGUUUAUAAAAAUAACAUUUCCAUCUGUCUUUAACCGCGUUCUCUGUAGCAAGAACCUUUCCAUCCUCAUCCUUGAUGCACCUCCCUUGGUUUAGGUCCCUUGUCUUCUUUUCCCUUGCUCUAGCUAGUUUAUAGAUAUCCAACUCUCCUUCUUUGGUAUCUAGUCGCUUAUACAUAUCAUCAUAAGCCGCUAACUUAGCUUCUCUAACAGCUUUCUUCGCCUCUUGCUUCGCUUUUCUAUACCUUUCACCAUUUUCAUCGGUCCUAUCCUUGUAUAAGGCUUUACAACAUUCUUUCUUAGCCUUCACCUUUGUUUGUACCUCCUCAUUCCACCACCAAGAUUCCUUUUGGUGUGGGGCAAAGCCCUUGGACUCUCCUAAUACCUCUUUUGCUACUUUUCGGAUACAACUAGCCAUGGAAUCCCACAUUUGGUUAGCUUCCCCCUCUCUAUCCCACACACACUGGGUGAUUACUUUCUCUUUGAAAAUGGCUUGUUUUCCUUCUUUUAGAUUCCACCAUCUAGUCCUUGGGCACUUCCAAGUCUUGUUCUUUUUUCUCACUCUUUUGAUAUGUACAUCCAUCACCAACAAGCGAUGUUGAUUAGCCACGCUCUCUCCUGGUAUAACUUUGCAAUCCUUACAAGUUAUACGAUCCCCUUUUCUCAUUAGAAGAAAAUCUAUUUGUGUUUUUGACGACCCACUCUUGUAGGUGAUCACAUGUUCUUCUCUCUUCUUAAAGAAGGUGUUGGCUAAGAAGAGAUCAUAUGCCAUUGCAAAAUCCAAGAUAGCUUCCCCAUCCUCGUUUCUCUCCCCAAAACCAUGGCCACCAUGAAAACCUCCAUAGUUGCCUGUCUCCCUGCCCACGUGUCCAUUUAAAUCUCCUCAUAUAAAUAACUUCUCCGUCUGAGCAAUUCCUUGCACCAAGUCUCCAAGGUCUUCCCAAAAUUUCUCCUUUGAACUUGUAUCCAAUCCUACUUGAGGUGCGUACGCACUAAUCACAUUGAUAAGUUCUUGUCCUAUUACAAUCUUGAUUGCCAUGAUUCUAUAUCCUACCCUCUUGACAUCUACAACAUCUUGUGUCAAGGUCUUGUCCACGAUGAUGCCAACACCGUUUCUCGUUUUAUUUGUGCCCGAAUACCAUAGUUUAAACCCUGAGUUUUCUAGAUCCUUUGCCUUACGACCAACCCACUUAGUUUCUUGUAGGCACAUAAUAUUUAUCCUUCUCCUCACCAUAACUUCUACUACUUCCAUAGAUUUUCCCGUCAAGGUUCCUAUAUUCCACGUUCCUAAAUGCAUUUUGCUCUCUUGAACUCUACCCUUCUGUCCUAGCUUCUUCACCCUUCCCCGUCUAAUAGGAUCAAAGUACUUCUUUUGUGUGUCCCGUGUAAAGUUGAUAGGAGCAUAUGCUCCCAAACAACUUUGAGUGGAGUCGUUCGAAAAGAAGUUUCUAUAGCCCCCUUGCUCAUUUAACACAGCAUCCGGGUGCCGAUGGAGAUACAGCGACCCUUGCUCACUUAUCACUGUGCUCGGGCCACACAGCGCGCCACUUACGGGUGACGCCCUAGCUUUAGCGCGAUUUCGUUCUGGAUUCAUUUUCAUAAAGAUUCAACGUGAUCAUGGAGUGCCGGCUGUCGACUACCUGACGCCCUCCCCCUCCUCCUUUAUCCGGGCUUGGGACCGGCAAUGUAAGAUAAACUUACACGGCGGAGUUGGGAUUAAGGAGGAACAAAAAGCCCAAAUUCCAAUAAACCAAAAAAAAAAUCGUAUGUAAAUUUAAGCUUUUCCUGUAGAUUGGCAGCAGCAAAACAUGCUGGAUCCAACGGGAGCCACGUGUGAGAACUGGAUGCCCAGCCUUUGACACAUUAUCGAGUGAGUUUAGGGAUCUGGGUUUUGUGUUUGCCGUUGAAUUUUGGAAUGAUCUGGAGAAAUUUGGGUUUUAGGGUUCUAAGGAUUUGAGUGAACCGAAAUUGAUUUGGAUGAGCAACUUUUAGUUUCGAUUCGCGGUGGAGCAAGGAUGAAGAGGUGGAGGAGGAAGGAAUGAAAGACUUAACUUCUAAAGUUUCAAGUGCUUAGCAAAUUUCGAUCAAUGUAUGUUUCAAUACUUCAAAAAAAGGGACAUGCAUCAAAGACUUUUAGGUGGAAAAAAUAUGCAUUGGCUGAAAUGGAGAUAAUUAAGAUUUAAAAUGUUAAAAAUUUUCUUUUUGGCUCACUAAUUAGAUGCAAAAGUGAGACUGUGUGAACAAUUUUACACCCAGAAACAUGAACUACACAGAAUCACAACUGAUCGAACAAUGAGAAAGUAUAUAAGACAAUACACUAUCAAUAGGCUAAAACACUCUAUUAAUUGAUCUAACAAUAGGCUAAUAGGUUUAACUAAACCAUUAGAGACUGCAACAAUGAGAAAGUCUGAAGAUUAAAGUUCUAGUUGAAUAUCUUUGAACCCCUAGGUGUUGGAAACACUUUCAGUAAAUUUGUUCAGGAAAAUAUAGAAACUCAUGAUGCAAUUCCAUCGUCUGGGAUAGCAAAUAUUUACCUGGAAUCCAACAUUAAGCUACCAUUUUUCAUAAGUUUAUUCUUUUUGUUAACUACACUGGAAUUUAUAAAACAAUUUUAGAAAAACUCGAGUCUAGAUAAUGAACUUUUGUUCCAGUUUAAAAAAUUUUGACUUGUGUUCUAAGCAACAUUAUGUAUUCGCAUUUCAAUUGUGAAAGGCAGCAAUAAUCCCUGACUGAAGAUAUUAAAAAUCAGAACUUCUUCUCCAAGUUUUCAUUUAGUUUAUUUCACUUGUCCAUCGGAAUUUUAUGCAAAGAAGAUUAAAUAAAGACAAUAGCAUGCCAAAGAUUAAAACCCCUCAUUUCAAACUCUGCUAAUGCACAACUCUGUUUGGUUUUCUUCUCCAGAGACCAGACUGAGUGAGGAGUCAAGUUCUCCAGUGCACCAACAAUCUCCCGUUCGAGCAGCCAUCACCACCUCACUUGCCACUCCGGCGAGGCACCACCUUGCCACCACCCUCAUGUCUCACUCCCUCUCUACCACUCUCCCUAUUUCCCUCACCUCUUUCUCUCGAUACUGUGCUCGCUGCACAGAAACAGCAAGGCAACCACCGUCGCCUUUUUUCACAGCGAACUACGCCGUAACGAAACCAUCACCAUUAAUCUCGCUACCUAGGCGAGUUUUACCACCCUCUGCAAACUGCCUUCAUGCCUUCUAAUUUCAAUUCUUGCAUUUCUUGUAUGGUAUCCAUGUCUUGCACAUUCAAAUACUUAUAUACCGACUGAGAAUAACAAUAUAAAUCCCACACCCACCUCUUUUUCCCCACUUGAAAAAAUCACCUAAAAACAACAUUAACCACCAUAGUUUAAGAAUCCAAACAUGGCUCCAAAUUUCAAUCUAAUUAAUUAAAUUACAGAGGAUUCUACCUACCUCAUGAAAACAAAUAUGUUCAAUUAAAGAAAUUCCCUAACCAAUGCAGUGCAUCUUAAACUACUUCUUAACUAUGUCAGCCAUACCAAUCUAAUAAAAAAUCCAUGUUUCAAUCGAUUCUUAUUAAUUCCAACUCCAAGUAUUUCAGCAUCUAGAUUAUAGAAAAAUCAUAACAAAACAAAACUCAAUCUUGGUGCUAAAGCACACUUCGUUAACCUCACCUUCAUCAAGUCCAUGAUUCCUGCCAUGAGAUCUUUCUCUUAAUCCAGACUUGGCUUCAGAUGCAAGAUCAAAAUAACGAAGCAUUCAGUUCCAUUUCUACGCACAGCAAAUUAAAAAUUGAAAUAUGUUAUAAUUUACUCGGAAUCUUCAUAAGUAUCAUCAAAACAUAUAAACAGAUACAUUUGAAAACUGAUAAAGCUACCUAAUUAAGUUGAAAAGUUGCUAAUUAAGAUCAGGUGCCAGUGCAUCCAGUGAGCCUUCCAAGGAAAGAUGGCCCCAUGGACUUAGACCUUGAAAACUGAGGCUUGUUUUGCCUUGUAAUUGUAUGAUCAGUAGCAUUCUUAUGGAUUGUAAUUGUAUGAUCAGUAGUAUCCUUAUGGAUUCCCAGAUGAAUCCUCAAAAUUUUGUUCUCAUCUGUUAGCUUAUGCACAUGGGACAAAAGCCGCUCAAUUGUUUCACACUUCUCCUUGUUUCUCCUUAUCAACUCAGCUCACUGCUGCAUAUUUCGUCAAUGAGUUUCGAGAUCUUUUCAUGCAACAUUUUAUCUUUUUCAACCACAUUACCAUCAGAUUCUACACCAUGAUCAAUACUCUCUUUUUCCAAAUAUUCUUCAAAAGUACACAAACCAACCUUUUUUAGGACAGACCAGCAUUUGUUUGUUUUGAUGGCUCUGAAUUUGGUUUCCGUUUUCUCUUUGUGGUGGUCUGAUCAAGAUGCAGUCCAAAAACUAAUUUGAGUGCCUACACAGAUGAACAUCGCAUAAAAAUCAAAAAUAAAAAACAGCAGCAGAGAUAAAAAAAAAGACAAUAAUUCUAAAAAAAUUUAAAUCAAAAGCUUAAGACUAACUCACAGGAAGUUCUGUGAGUUAAUUUUUUGGGCAAAAAAAAAUUCUAUUAAUGCAUUCUCAUACAAAAAAAAAUUCUUUAAAUACUGAUUUCAUGCGAUCCAGGAGCUAAGUGCUUAAAUCAGAAAAAUUUCUUUAACCCAGAUACUCUUAUAUUGCAGUGCAGCAAAGUUUUUCUUGAACGCUGACGAAUAUCACUCUGAAAUUAACCCAAAUAUAUCUCAGAGAUUGCAGAGAUUCAGACAAUCAAUAAUAAGAUGGCCGGAAUGUUCUUUAUUCAUUUGUCCUCCAUACUCUACCCUAAUCUUCUUAGGAUUUUAGUUAAACAACUUGCUCCUGUAACAGCUAUAUUAAAGCAUAAAUAUUCAUGAACACUCAUCACCAAUAGCAAAAAGGCAUAAAGUAUUUUUACAUAAAUCUAAAGAUCCCUUUUGUGUCCCAAACCCAGGUCUGUCCUCUCUUUGCCUUCCUCCUUCAGGGCAUAAUUAGAGAUACCCACCAACAGUAUAACCAGAAAAAUUGCAGUGAGAUUUUAAAGUACGAACUUUAUUUGAUAUUGCAAUGAAAUAUAACAAAAUGUAAAAAAAUUGUUAUUUUGGUAAUAGACAGUGGAAUAACAGAAGAAGCCGAACCCAGAAAAAUUAAAAACACAUAAUCACAGUAGAAGAAGCAAACCCAAGAAAAUACAUAAAAUAAAAUAAAAGGGUGCAACUUUUAUUGGCGGGUGAAUGAGUAGACAAUAAAAAAAAGUGCAAACUUUGAGUUCAAAACAAACCUCGUACCAUUGAAAUUUGAGACUUGGAGUCGCCCACGUGAAGGGUUUUAUGAGAAGACAGUAUUAGGCGUGCUGAAGUUAGUUUAUGCUUUUAGUUGUAAAUUCACAUCUAAUACUAGUUGAACACAAAUUUCAGCAAAUACACAGAAGAAAUAGCAAGAAUUCAUUUCAGAAAUGGGAAAAAAUUAAAUUAAAAAUAGAAAACAAAGGGCCGAAAAGCUGCAUACCUAAACACAAUUUCAUAUCUUUUUAUCCUCUUCGAGUACCGAUCCAUUCCAGAGAGAGGGAGAGAGGAGGAAGGAGACGACGAAGGGGGAGAGGAGGGAGAGGAAGGCGAGAGGAGGAAAACGACGGAGGCGAUUUACUGUCUGUGUUGUUCUCGCGGGGACUGCGAGAUGAACGAGGUGAGGAAUGACCAGGUGGCUCUGGGCUCAAGGUCAGUGAAGCAGUGGCGAAGCCAAGAUUUACCGAGGGGAGGGGAGGGGCGAAAUUCAAAAGAGUGCAAAGUUAUCGAAUGGUUGCUUUCACAUUGGAGAGUGUAAAGUUUUGAGUCAAUAUUCAUAGCAAAAGAUAGUUUUGCAUCAAAGUUGUUGUAAGCAAUAAUAUCAAAACUAAUGUAAGAAGCUUAAAUUGGCAAAGAUUAUAUCGUAAAAAAUAUUGUGUGCUAGUCAAAUAGUGGACCUAGCAGACCUAGGCGAUAUCUAAGCAGAAGCCUAGAUGGAUUUAAAUUAUCGUAAAAUAAGUAUUAAACAAUAUUUACAUUGUUUUUAAAAAAUAAUACAAUAUUUAUAGAUAAUGUGAGAGUUUAAGAAAAUACGGUGAGAGUCUUAAAAGAGAAAAUAAAAGGGAAGUGUUAUUGGCACUCCAAAAAUCUCAUUCUACACUCCUCACAAGUGUAUUUUUAUUUCUAAAUAUAGAAAAUUUUGAAUGUAGAAUGAGAUUUUUAGAGUGCCAAUAACAAUUCCCAAAUAAAAAUACAUACACGAACAAAAAUUUGAAAAAAAAGAGAGAAAUAGGUUAAUAAGGACAAUACUUGGGUACUGCCUUUUUUCAAUGACUACAAUGUCACUCAGUAAAGUUAAAACAUGUGUCCUACUUUUCUUAUUAAAACUAGCAACCAAACACCCUCGUGUUUAAGGAAGACGGGCAUCCAAACAACCCAUUUAUUCCUUUCGUCCCUAACAUCUCCGCACGUCUGUAUACCAUGGUUUCCAUUGCUCUCAUCAUCACCACUCCAUUUCAAACAUAAGCACAAACACAAACAAUAAUCCAGCAAUAAUUUACCCAUUUGAAAACCCAAUUUUUUUUUUCAAAUCUGGACAAACAACCAAAUUUCAUUGCGACCCGCCACCAAUCCUUAUCUCCUUCGGUGACCCACCACCAAUCCUUCUCUACUUCGACGACCCACCUCCUCUCACUCUCUUCUACAGAAAGACUAACUCCUUGUCCUUCUCUUGAACGACGGCGAUUGCUGAAGACUGUCUCCCCCACAGCAAUAGAAACCAGAUCACUGGAGCGGGAAUUCUCAUUUCCGACGAGAGCGGAGGGGCUGAACGAGCGCUCUUAGGCAUGUUUUCCGGCGAGGGGAGUGGCGGCCGCCACUCCUUACCCUCACGUAGCUUCGCCACUGUCAGUGAGAAAAUGAGAGACCUAAACGGCUAGGUUAGAAAUGAGAGUAUGGGUUGAGGGGCACAGAAGAUCUGGAAAUGAUUUUUACCUUUCAAUUUGGAAAUGAUUUUUGCUGACCACUGUCAUGUUCCGUGAUUUCUUCCAUCACAAGAAAUCAAGUUGGGCUCAAAUUGUAAUAGUUUGGGUUCAAUUUGCAAUUUACAGCUUUUAAGUGGUAUUUUAUUUUAGGGUUAAUAUCAGUUUACUAUCCUGAAAUUUUGUGAUUUUCAAUAUUUGGUACAUGAAAUUUUUUUCAUCCCAGAGUCAUACCUCAAGACUUAAUUUUGGGACAAUUUCAUACAACCGUUAGAAAUUCUGUUAACUAAUGACGUGGUGUUCACGUGGACAAUAAUUGAGCGCCAUAUGCCAAUAUUGGCCCACUCCAAUAUUAAAAAAAAUUAUAAAAAAAAAAAAAAGAAAACCCAACCUUCCCUCACCCACCCCCUCCCCCGGCACCCUCUCCCUCUGUUCUCUCUUCUGCAAGUCCCAGCACCUCUCGAUUUUCCUUCAAUUUGACCCAUUUGGGACUGGGAGCCAAAUUAGACUAGGAGUUGGAAUUUGAGGUUCCAGGGGAAAUGGGGAAGACCCAGAUGGCAAUCUGAUUCACCAUUGGAGAUAAAACUGAAUCUGGAUAUUUGCACAGUGCAAAGCUCAGAUCCGUUCACAAUCAAGCUAUUACAGAAGAAGACUUGAGGUUUGGACUUGCAGGCGGCAACGUUGGCCAAUGUCCACACGUUCAGGCAGAGGCUGGUGACCUCGACGAGGAUCAGAAGGGAGAGAAUGGCGGCUGCACUGUGCGAAGCGACGCAGCAGCAUGUGAGGAAGAUGAAGAGUGUGAUGAGGAUGACAGCGAGGGUGAUGUGGGCGAGGAGAACAGAGGCGUGGAAUUGGAGAAGAGAGAAGGGAGAAGCGAGGGAAGAGGUGAGGGUUGCAGAAGAGAGAAAUGAUGGAGAUGGUGCGGGGGGGUGAGGGACGGGUGGGAUUUUAUUUUUAUUUUUAUUUUUUUUGUUUUUGUGUUUUUGUUUUUAUUUUUUUAAUUUUUUAAUAUUGAAGUGGGCUCAUAUUGACAUGUGGCACUCAGUUAUUGUCCACGUGGAUGUCACGUCAUCAGUUAACAAAAUUUCUAAUGGAAAACUUAACGGAUGUAUGAAACUGUCCCAAAAUUAAGACUAGAGGUAUGACUCUGAGAUGAAAAAAAAAACUUCAUGCACCAAAUGUUGAAAACCACGAAAUUUCAGGAUAGUAAACAGAGAUUAACCCUUUAUUUUACUAGUUUCUUUGUUAGUGACAAGUGGCAAGACAGACAUGUGUAAUGGGUUGGCUAUAUAGCCACACUCUCUCUCUUCCAACUGUUAGAAUGAAUUUAAUAUAAUUUCACAAAAGCUGAGCUAAUCUCUUUCCUUCUUCCUUCUCUAUUUAUGUAUCUUGCUCGGUCAAGGUUGAACGGUAGUUUGAAGUUGGUGGGUAUCUUGCAAGUUCCCUCAACUUUAGACUAUGGUAAUGGUCUAUCCAUUUAUACCUGUGGGUGGUGGUAGUGCCUAGUGGUGGCUUGCUGUUGUCUAUAAAAUGUGUGGCCUUAUGCUUGUUGUAAAUAAUGGGUAUGUUUGCCCACAUGUGUGUACUAUAUACUCACAAGCUAAAUAGUAAUGUUUUGUAAUUUUCCAUUGAAGUGGCUCUAUAAAUAGAGCACUUCAUUUGUGCAAAAGAGGGAUAUAAGAAGAAGAAAUAAAAGAGAAAUAUAUCUAAUAGCAAUAAUAUACAUUACUUCCUCAGCAACAGCUUGUGUUGGUAUAAUACUCUGCAACUGCUUCGUUCCUGUCCCGAGUAAAGGUUAUCUCUCUAUAAAUUUUGCCUAUUUAUAACACGUUAUCAGCACGAGUCUCUAAGUAUAACCAUGUCUCAUUUACAUUCACUAAACAAUAAAGGAAAUCAUUCUCUCUUUUCUCUCCGCCGAACGAAAAAAAAAAAAAAUGUUUCCUCUAAGGUUUUUCCUGUUCAUCUUCUUCAUCUGCCUCAACUGCGCGGUAUAUCCUCGUGACGAACUAUUUGCUCCAUGCCUGCUCGUAGUUCUCCAACUAGCGGUUACAUACAUCUUUGAUUACUUGUUUGGUUUGGAUAUUGAUUACUAACAUAGUAUUUAUAUUGAUUUUACUGCGAUCCAAGAUGGUGCGGUAUCAUCGCCUAUCUUGGACUGCAGAUCUACUUUUACUGCAAAUUUCAGGUGGAGCGGUAUAAUCGCCCUCCUUGCUCUCCAAAUUUAAAUUUACCUGUUAUUUAAUUUCAUUGCAAUUUUAGGUGGUGCGGUAUAAUCGCCCUCCUUGCUCUCCAAAUUUAAAUUUACCUGUUAUUUAAUUUCAUUGCAAUUUUAGGUGGUGCGGUAUAAUCGUCCACCCUGCUUUGCAUAUUUAAAUUUUAUCGCAAUUUUAGGUGGUGCGGUAUAAUCGUCCACCCUGCUUUGCAUAUUUAAAUUUUAUCGCAAUUUUAGGUGGUGCAGUAUAAUCGUCCACCUUGCUCUACAUAUUUAAAUUUUCCUGCUGUUUAAAGUAGUGCGGAAUAAUCACCCAUCCUAUACUUAUUUCGAUGAGAAUGGUGCGGUACAAUUGCCCUUCUCAUUAAUUGUGUAAAUCUCGAGCCUGAAGUUUCGAGUACUUAUCAUUUUGGCCUGAAGAUCAAAAAUUUGUAAGAACCAGAAGUUCUAACAAUAUAUUUCUCCAGUACACAUAUUACUGCAAGUUCUUACACACCUCAUUUUUCUUUCAGAAAAGAAAAUGGCAAACUUGGCAAAGCUUGAUUUUGCUGCCCUGGACAUUACUGGAAAGAAUUACCGUACAUGGGUACUGGAUACCAAGAUCCAUCUGGAAGCAGCAAAUCUUGGAGAAACCAUCAAGAAAGAGAGCAGCUCAUCCUCUCAAGAUCGGGCAAAGGCCAUGAUUUUUAUUCGUCGCCAUCUUGAUGAGGCACUAAAGAGCGAGUACUUAACGGUUAAAGAUCCGUUAGCCCUUUGGAAUGCCUUGAAAAGCAGAUACAAUCACCAGACAACGGUGAUUCUUCCAAAAGCUCGCUAUGACUCGACUCACCUAAGGAUCCAGGAUUUCAAAUCAGUGGCUGAGUACAAUUCGGCGUUGUUCAGAAUUACCUCUCAGAUGAAACUCUGUGGGGAUACUAUCACUGAGGAGAUGUUAUUGGAAAAGACUUUCAGCACAUUCCACGCCUCUAACAUGGUACUGCAACAGCAGUAUAAAGCGCGAGGCUUCACUGAAUACAACCAGCUGAUAUCUGUGCUCCUGGUAGCUGAACAGAACAAUGAGCUUCUCAUGAAAAACCAUAAUUCCCGACCUACUGGAUCAGCACCGUUCCCAGAAGUGAAUGUUGCUUCCCUUGAAAGGAAUACCAUAUCCUCCCGUGGCAAUAAUUACAAACGAGGAUGUGGCCACAAGCAAGGUCGGUGGAAAGGGAAAAGCAAGAACCAUGGUGUCCAGUUUCACAACCAGGUUCCAAGGUAUAAUCCAGGCCCGAGCUUUAAAAAUACCAAUCGCCAGAAAGGAAAAGCUCAUGUGAACACUCCUAGAAAUCAUGAAGGAGGUUGCCAUAGGUGUGGUGGCAACGGACAUUGGGCGCGUACUUGUCGCACCCCAAAGCAUCUGGUGGAACUAUAUCAAGCCUCCUUCAAGGAGAAGGGUGUCGAGAUCAAUUUCCUUGACCAGGCUAAACCAAUGGAAACCCCUGAUCCAGUGACCAAUUUAUCAGGACAAUUAAACACAACCCACCUGGAUGCUACAGACUUUAUUAAUGAAAGAGGGAAUGAAGUUUAUGGGUCCGAUUGAAUUAUUUAUGUUUAAUGUACUCAUGUUUUUUGUACCUGUGGUUUAAUGCUCGCAUUUUCAAUUCAAUAAAAGUAGUAUUCCAGUAUGAAUAAACUGCUUUUUCUUUACUCAGAGAUCAUGGAUAAAAAUUAUGGUUAUUCUCAAAACAAGAUCAAUGGCGGAGACUUUUGUCUUGCAGAUAGCGCAACCACGCAUUCAAUACUUCGAGAUCGAAAGUAUUUCUCGAAUUUGGUACUUGCAAAAGUAAAGGUAACAACAAUAUCAGGACCAUCAGAUGUAAUUGAAGGCUCAGGAAAAGCCCAGAUUAUGUUACCAAAUGGAACAAUAUUGUCUAUAAUGAAUGCAUUAUAUGCUACUCGGUCCAUUCGAAAUUUGUUGAGUUUUAAAGACAUACGUCUAAAUGGAUACCACCUUGAAACGAAAAUUGUAGAAAAUGUGGAAUAUUUAUGCAUUACCUCCAAUGAUACCCAGAAGCGUAUAUUGGAGAAGUUGCAUGGUUUAUCGAGUGGAUUGUAUUGUACAUACAUAAAGACAGUUGAGGCAUAUACUGUCAUGAACCAGAAGUUCAUUGAUUCAAAGGUUUACAUGCUUUGGCAUGACCGUCUAGGUCAUCCAGGAUCUACCAUGAUGCGUAGAAUCAUUACCAACUCUAAUGGACAUCCAUUACUGAGCAGACACAUUAAUGUCUCGAAUGAUAAACCUUGCAAGGCUUGUUCCCAAGGGAAGUUGGUAAUUAGACCAUCACAACUAAAGGUUGAUGAUGAAUCCCCAUCAUUUUUGCAAAGAAUUCAAAGGGAUAUUUGUGGACCUAUUCAACCACCUUGUGAACCAUUUCGAUAUUUUAUGGUUUUGGUUGAUGCAUCUACCCGAUGGUCACAUGUUUGCCUAUUGUCUACUCGAAAUGUAGCUUUUGCAAGACUUCUUGCUUAGAUAAUUAAGUUGCGAGCACAGUUCCCAGAUCAUCCCAUUAAGUCCAUUCGACUUGAUAACGCUGGUGAAUUUACGUCUCAAACCUUUGAUGAUUACUGUAUGGCAUUGGGCAUUGAUGUUGAACACCCUAUUCCUCAUGUCCAUACUCAAAAUGGUUUAGCAGAAGCAUUGAUCAAGCGGCUUCAAUUAAUAGUCCGCACUCUGCUUAUGAAAACCAAAUUGCCAGUUUCUGCAUGGGGACAUGCCAUUCUACAUGCUGCAUCAUUGGUUCGAUUGAGACCUAUAGCCAACCACCAAUACUCCUCAAUACAACUCAUGUUUGGACAUCAGCCAAACAUUUCACAUUUACGAGUUUUUGGUUGUGCUGUUUAUGUGCCUAUUGCACCCCCGCAACGCACUAAAAUGGGACCUCAGCGUAGACUGGGAAUUUAUGUGGGUUUUGAUUCACCAUCUAUUAUUAGAUAUUUGGAACCCUUGACAGGUGAUAUAUUUACAGCUCGUUUUGCUGAUUGUCAUUUUGAUGAGACAGUCUUCCCAUCGUUAGGGGGAGAAAAGACCGUUCCAGAAGAACGGAAAGAGCUGACAUGGGUUGUUCCCACCUUAUCUCAUUUUGAUCCUCGAACCCUUCAAUGUGAAAAUGAAGUGAAAAGGAUCGUUCAUCUUCAAAGCAUUGCCAAUCAAAUGCCAGAUGCAUUUAAUGACGUUAUGAAAGUGACAAAAUCGCAUAUACCAGCUGCAAAUGCACCUGCCAGAAUUGAUGUCCCUGUUGGACAAAAUAAAGUGGCAGCGAAUGAUUCAUCUGGUGCACGCCUGAAGCGUGGUAGACCACCAGGUUCAAAAGAUUCAGCCCCUCGGAAGAGAAAGACGAGAGCACAACUGAAUCCAAAUGAAAUCAUUCAGGAAGAGAGAGUAAAUGACAAAUCCACAAUUCAUGACUCUGGACUUCCAGAAGAAGAAAAUGGCCCUGAAGAGACAGAAGUACAUGAAAGCAAAGAAAUCUCCAUAAACUAUGCAUGUACUAAUGAAUUGUGGGAUCGGAAUGAAAUAAUCAUUGACGAUAUGUUUGCAUUCGCAGUAGCCACUGAAAUCAUAUUAAGUGAUGAUAUUGAGCCCCGCUCUGUUGAUGAAUGCAAACAGAGACAAGAUUGGCCUAAGUGGAAAGAUGCAAUCCAGGCAGAAUUAAAUUCCUUGGAAAGGCGAAGUGUUUUUGGACCAGUAGUCCAAACCCCAACUGAUGUAAACCCCGUAGGUUACAAAUGGGUAUUUACAAGGAAACGCAAUGAGAAAAACGAGAUUGCUAGAUACAAAGCACGACUCGUUGCACAAGGCUUUUCACAAAGACCUGGAAUUGAUUAUGAGGAGACAUACUCUCCUGUAAUGGACACAAUUACGUUCUGUUACUUAAUAAGUUUGGUGAUUUCAGAAAAACUUGACAUGCGACUUAUGGAUGUCAUCACCGCGUAUCUAUAUGGAGAAUUAGAUACUGACAUAUUCAUGAAAGUCCCAGAAGGACUUAAGUUGCCUGAAGCAACAAACAAACCAUGGGGUAUGUUCUCAAUCAAAUUAAGGCGAUCACUAUAUGGGCUGAAACAAUCUGGGCGAAUGUGGUAUAAUCGUCUCAGUGAGUAUUUGAUUAAAGAAGGAUAUAUCAACAAUGUCAUCUGCCCUUGUGUGUUCAUUAAGAAAUCCAACUCUGGAUUUGCUAUAGUGGCAGUAUAUGUUGAUGAUAUGAACUUAGUUGGGACUCCUGAAGAGCUCCAUAAAACUGCUGAAUAUCUGAAAAGCGAAUUUGAAAUGAAAGACCUUGGGAAAACCAAAUAUUGUCUAGGCCUGCAGAUCGAGCAUUGUGUUAGUGGAAUUUUGGUCCAUCAAUCAGCUUACAUUGAAAAAAUACUGAAGCGAUUUGGCAUGGACAAGGCUUAUCCACUUAGCACCCCAAUGGUCGUUCGUUCUUUAGACAUUAAGAAAGAUCCAUUCCGUCCAAAGGAAGAUGAUGAACUGGUCCUUGGUCCAGAAGUACCAUAUUUGAGCGUAAUAGGUGCUUUAUUGUAUUUAGCACAAUGUACUAGACCAGAUAUAGCUUUUUCAGUUAACUUGUUAGCCAGGUACAGCUCUGCUCCAACAAUUCGUCAUUGGAAGGGAGUCAAAGAUGUUCUACGAUACCUUCGUGGGACAACAGAUAUGGGUCUCUUCUAAUCAGACAAGCCCACAAAUGAACAAAUCCUUGUUGGAUACGCAGAUGCUGGUUUUCUCUCCGAUCCGCAUAAAGCCCGCUCACAAAAUGGAUAUGUGUUCACUAAUGGAGAUACUGCAAUUUCAUGGCGAUCAACGAAGCAAACGCUAGUUGCAACAUUUUCCAAUCAUUCGGAAAUAAUUGCUCUACAUAAAGCAAGUCGUGAAUGUUCUUGGUUAAGAUCAAUGAUCCAUCACAUCUGGAAUUCAUGUGGUCUACCUUCAAAGACAGACACUCCAACUGUCAUCCAUGAAGAUAAUGCAGCCUGUGUCGCCCAGAUGAAGGAAGGAUUUAUCAAAGGUGAUAAGACUAAACACAUAUCUCCAAGAUUUUUCCGCGCACAUGAGCUUCAGAAGGCUAAAGUUAUUGAAGUCAGACAAAUCCGUUCCAAUGAAAAUUUAGCAGACUUGUUCACCAAAUCUCUACCAAAGUGCACAUUUCAGAAGUUGGUACAGGGAAUCGGAUUACGUCGGCUUACGGAUUUGAAGAAUGCGGAAUCAGGGGGAGAUACAAUUCAGGGGGAGCAUCCAUGAUACAUGCAUGUUGUACUCUUUUUCCUUCGCUUAGGACUUUUCCCACUGGGUUUUUCCUAUCAAGGUUUUAACGAGGCAACCUAAGCAUGCUCAACACCAUCCGGGUAAAGUUGUACUCUUUUUCCUUCGCUAUGGUUUUUUCCCACAGGGUUUUUCCAAGCAAGGUUUUAAUGAGGCAACUGAUGUUGAUAUGUGGGCAUCCAAGGGGGAGUGUUGUAAAUAAUGGGUAUGUUUGCCCACAUGUGUGUACUAUAUACUCACAAGCUAAAUAGUAAUGUUUUGUAAUUUUCCAUUGAAGUGGCUCUAUAAAUAGAGCACUUCAUUUGUGCAAAAGAGGGAUAUAAGAAGAAGAAAUAAAAGAGAAAUAUAUCUAAUAGCAAUAAUAUACAUUACUUCCUCAGCAACAGCUUGUGUUGGUAUAAUACUCUGCAACUGCUUCGUUCCUGUCCCGAGUAAAGGUUAUCUCUCUAUAAAUUUUGCCUAUUUAUAACUAUGCUUUGUUUAUUGGAUAUUUAUAAUAUUAUACAAUUCCAAUUACUUUAGUCUAAAGUAGGAAAUCCAAUUGCAUUGUUCAACUUCAACUGAACAGUGUUUUGGACCGAAUUUCACUUUAUUUACAAAAUUUCCACCACCCCUAUCUGUCGUUCAAAUUUUGCUUAUAUCUUUGUGCAGUGUGUCUGUUGUAUUAUCUGGUCACAGAUACCUUAGUUCAGUAAUUUGAGAAGCAUGGGGAGACAAUAGACUAAUCAAAGAGAUGCAUGUGAUCAACGAUAAACAAGUAAGCAUCAUCCUCUUCCUUCUUUUGUUAUGAUUCGUUGUAUAGAGAAUUGAGAAAAAAGUUGAAGACAAUUCCGCGCUUUUGAGUUAUAGCAAUUAAUAUCUAAAAUGACAUUGAUUAGUUCACUUAAGUGUUGAAUCCUUCGUUAGUUUAUCUAUGGUGUGUGCUUGAGAAUGAAAGCAAUGGACAUUAUAUAGAAUUGAUGUUCCUUUUAAUGUCAGUAAAGAAAGGAGUUGUUCCUUUAUUAGCAAUUAUAUGAAGUAGGCAUAUUAUACAAUGUCUACAAUCGACUAUUUUACUUUUUGUAUAUAAGUAAAAAUGUUGAUCGAAAGCCACAAAAACUACCUAAGGGCCGAAGAACUGUUUAUGUUAGAAGAACAGAAUAUGGUGUAAAGCUUAAAUUUUGGGCACUUCAAAAUAUGUUUUUUUUUUCAAUUAUAAUAACUUGCAUGAAAAUUCAAUUGGGUUUGUUCUAGUCUCCAAGAAUUUUGCUUUGUUUGGUUACUAAUUAAUUUAUGUGGUGGGAGUUUAGUUUUUCCUUUUCUGCCUAUGUAUAUAUAAUUCGAAAUGGACCGUUCAAUUUGCUAUAUAUAAAUUUGUAAUCGAAAAGCUCGAAAAAGAGGUGAAUAAAAAACAAUGGUGGUAGAGUGAUGGAGUUGAGGAGUUGAGAGUUUACAGGGUUUACUUGAAUUUUUGUAUGAUGUCCCUGGUAUGUUAGAUCAUUGAAACUAACUGUCUGGUUGAUUAAUCACUAAUUUGAAAUAUUUAAAGUGUAACUUUUCUUUAAUUCACUUUUCUUUUGUAUUUUCAUUGGAGUGCAGAUAAAAGAUAUUUCUUUUAUCUUUUUCAACCACAAACUUUCCGAUGUCUUUUGAGAGUGGUCCAACUAGAGUAUUGGAUGACAAGUUUAGGUUUAAUAUAUACUUGAGUUCCCACAAGGAAGAUGGUAUUUUAGAAGUUAACAAAUUGGACCCUAACGAUAGACUUCUUAGAGAUACGUCCUCCCAGUUUGUAGCCUUUGUAUUGAAGUUGGAAUUGCUUCGCUCAACUGAUUAUUUCCCAGGCUUAAAUCUAUCAAGUUGUUGAAGUUACCAAUAUCAACGAGAAUGUUACCGUUGAUGUUGGAAAUGCUUAAAUCAAUAGUUAGGAGUGACGUAAAGAUAUGCUAACAGUUUGGGUCUUUUACGACUUGAAAUAUACGGCGUACAGACCGGCAUGCCUUAAAUGAUAUUAUUCAUGACAUUCAUAAAGUUCAUAUCGUAAUACUUACGCAUAAUCUCGUAUUCACAACAUCACUUUUAUGCAAGUAGUUAAAUAAAAAUAUUUAUGACUUAAGCGUUGUCUAUCGUAUCUCACAAUCCCAUAGUAUUCAAUCUACAACUUUCAUUUACCUCACAUAUCUCAGGUUUUGUCUAUCUCUCUCUGCCUCUCUCACGCAGUCUCUCUCUCGACUUUCACUCUCUCAGAUUCGUAUCUCCCAAUCCCAGCGGCCUCGAUAUCUCUCUCGUCUCCAACCACGAUACCACCAUCAUCUCCUGUCAACUCUCGACUCUCUCCCACCACCUGCACUUGACGGUCCUGACUCCUGACCACCAUCUAUGUUCCAAAUAAGGUAUGCAGUUAGGGAUUUAAGAUUGAAAUAAAUUGGGGUUUUCUAGAUUUAGGGAUUUGGAUUUGGUCAAUUCUGGAAUCAAAUGUUAAUUAUAAUUUGUUUAAUUUUGGCAAUUUGAGUGCAAAAUUAGGGUUUUGUUAUUUCAAGUGUUGACAGUAAGACCCUUUGUCAAUUAGUAACCACUUAGUGCUUGUUUUCGAUCUGUCAUUGAAUACGAAAUCACGACUUUUAAUUUUUCAUUUUACAAGUCAUCAUAAGGAAUAGAUAAUUCUAGAAUUAUAGUGCAAACUCUUGAUUUUCAGUUUCAGACUUGGUUUUGUUUCAGAAUUCUGAGGAAUUUUAAUCAUGGUGUUGGGGAUUUGUUAAUUUUGCUCUCUCGCUCUCUCUCGCUCUCUCUCUCUCUCUCUCUCUAUGAUUUGGUUGGGAUUGCAGAGUGACUUGGGUUUCUUUGUAUGCAUGUCCCGGACCUCCAGGUCACAUGGGGUACUUAGCAAGGUUUUACUUUUGCAAAGGAGAUGGAGAUGUUACAGACUUACAGUGAUACUGCAAUCCAAAUAAUCUGUUUUGAAAAUCCAAAUAAUCUGUGAGUAUGUUGUAGCAGUAGAAUAACACUGUGGGGCUUAGCCUAGUACUUAAAUUAUUGACUUUGUUGCUUAGGAUAAUUUGAUUGAGUUCCUUUGGUAUGAUUUAUAUUCACUUAUUUAUUCUAUUUAUUUUUACUAUUUUUCAGGUAGCAUUCAAGUCUUUGGUGAAAUUUUAAACGAAGAGGUUGCAAAUGCAGCGGUAAUGAGUGGAAAAGUUUAUACUUACUUUUAUUAGUAUUGAAGUCUUUAUCAAUUUCUAAGUUAACAUUUUGUUUUGACUAGCUCGUAACUUACCAAUCGAAUCCAUCCCCUUUGACUAGCUAGAGUAUCUUGGUUGGGAACUCUAUCUGUUCCCAGCGCCUAGUAUCCAAAGAUGAAGUUGAGACGGGUUGGGAACUCUCUCUUUCUCUCCUUUUGUUUUAGUUCCCAAGAAAGUUGAUUGGAUUGAAGAAAAUGGAACAAAAAGAAAUGAAAAAAAAAUUGAAAUUUGUUGGUGCUUAUGUUGAUGUUGAAUUUGUAAUAUAUUAAGACCCAAAAACUAGAUAAAUGGCUAACUUUGAUGUAAAUUGAUAACAGCAAGCCACUAGGUCAAAAAACAGUGAGUCUUACCUUAGAGCUUUUGGGGAUAUCAUAAUUGAUAACCAUAUCCACCGAUCGAAUAUCCAAUCUUGUACUUGCCGCAUCAAUUCUUCAUGCAUGAAAUGUUAAGAGACUCAUAAAUUUAUCUACUUGCAAGUAUAUGAUUUUUAUGCAGGUUAUAGGAAACAAUAAAAUCGUAAAGGCAUAAUUUGUGUAUAUUUUAGUCAUUUGAUACAUGUAUGAGUGUAAAACAAUAAAACUGUGAAGGCAUAAUUUGGGAUAUAGGUUUGUAUGAUAGUGAUUAGUUUUUCUUUCAGUAUCACUUUUCUUACUUGAGAUUAAAUGUGUAUUUCUACAUAUAGCAGCACAAUAGAUUUUUUUUUGCUCCAUGUGCUUAUGUCUAUGCAGAUAGAGAUAGCAAUUAGUGUGGUUCAAGCAUUAGGAGCAGUAUUUCAUUCUCAAAGGACUUUGUUUGAAGGUGUUCAAUGAAAAGUGAAGUCUUUCAAGUGACAAAUUUCUUUGUUAUUAGAGGCCUAUUUGGUAUUUCAUGUGUAGUUUGAUAUUGACCUUAGCUUUGUUCAACUUGUAAUACAUUUUGACAAUAUGAUUAUUUAUGAUUAUGGUAAAUGUGUAAUUUUGUCAAUUCUUAUAUAUAUAUAUAUAUUAAUUGUUGAUGUUAGUCUCCAUUUAUGAUGUACGACGUAUGCCGUAAUUGCUUUCACAGUAUUACGACACUAAACAAACGUUGUAUCAAAUAUAAAUUACGGCACACAGGUAUGCCGUAAUUGUUUUUGCAGUAUUACGACACUUCAUUAACACCGUAUCUAAUACCAAUUAAGGCGCGCAAGGCAUGCCUUAAAGAGUAUUUACAACGUGUUUUGCUUAAAUUAUUCACGGCUACUAUAGAACGUCGUAUUUGACAAAACAUCUUUUAUGACAUGGGUUUUUACUGCUUGGGGGCUCACGCUGUGAAUAAUCGUUUACGGCGCUCUUUGUGCACCACAAAAGACUAGUUAUGUUGUAGUGAUAUUAUGUAACAAAUGCUCAAUUUUCUUUUGCACUCUUUUAUGAAUUUCAUUUGGAUGGGAAUGGUUACGUGACAUUACUUGUUACACCAGAAAAUGUCUGGUUUUGGUAUAAAGACUUAACUGCAAAAAGGCAUCUGAAAGGUUUCGUUUAGCUACUAAGAAAGUUUGGGAGGGGUCAAACGUCUUAGGUUGAGAUUACAUAUACAAGGGUGUUAGAUUUACAUAAUGGGUUUACAUAAUGAGUUGUUGAUGACUACAUACACAUUGAGAAUUUAGCUUAUGUCUUUGUGUCCGAUGAGGGAGUGGUUUUUUUUUUUUUUUUUUUUUUUUUUUUUUUUUUUCGGGUGUCAUUCCAUUUUAAUCUUAGUUCCAUUCAAAUGAAGAUAUUUAAAGAACCUAACGUAAAACAUCUGUACAAGCAAAACACAUCUUAGCAACGCCAAUAAAAUUAUCUACGAGAGUUGAUCCAAUCCAGGCAAGCCGCACGGUGGGUUAUUGAGGACAAAGCUGCCGAGAUCCAUAUUAAAACUCCAAUUUGGCAACUGAUGAGCAACACAAUUCCGCUCCCUAGAUACAUGCUUCAUGCUUCAGCUCAGCUCACAUCUAACCAAUUGACUCAUCAAUGUUUUGCAUAUGCUCACAAUUGUAUCAAGAGGAUAAUAACUAUCAACCAAAUUUUGUUAGAACAAAGUGACAGCAAACACCUCUGUCAAUAAAAUCUCCUUAUCCCAAAUGGACGCAGAUUGUCUGCCCUCCUAGUUGUGGUGCCGUUCCAUGCCCUCCUAUUUUGUGCGGUUACGGUUAAACCACAUCAACAUUUUAUAUUAAUUUUUUAAUGAGAUAAUAAGACAAAAAAUAAUAAAAAUAUAAAAUAUUGACGUGGCUUAACCGUGGCUGCACAAAAUAGGAGGGCAUGGAAGGGCACCACAACUAGGAGGGCAGACAAUCCUUGUCCAUCCCAAAUUGGCUGAGAACUCUACCCACACCAAUAUUGAACCAUCAACGUCAAGCUUUCACCCAGUUCUCGACUUUUUGCGUGUUUACUACAAGUAUGGAAUCUGAAGGGCUAGUUGAUUCGUAGCUCAAUACUUGAAAAUUAGGAGUCAAAUCAAAAUGUUUAUUUUUUAUUGGUAACACAUUUGCAAAUUUGGUUUAAAAAUUAAGUUACCUGAUAUUAUCCUAAUAUAAAUAUCUUUUGACAAAUAAAAAAUGCAUACAAAGAUAAAUUUGAGUGGUGAUAUCCACACACUCAUUUUUACCUUUCACACACCUUUAUUAUUUCCCGGGCUGUUGAACAAUUGAAACAAUCAAAUAAUAUAAAUUAAUAAGUGAUGUGUGAAAAAUAGAAAUAAGCGUGUGAAGAGCCACAAAACUAAACAGAUACCCAAAAAUACCACAACACACAAAGUCAGUCGUUACAUUUCAGUUGCAAAUGAAAAUUAUGAACACUGGGAUUUGCUCUCUCUAUCGCUGAGAGAUUCUCUGUUAUUGAUGGCAAUGGCGGACAAUGGCAGUCGUCUGCAAAUGCAUAACAUCGAGGAGGAGCUUCUUCUGCUUCAGAGCAGUCAGUUUCGACGACAAGCCCGACCGCCGAAACCUCCUCCGAAACGUUUUGACCCUUCCCGUCUUUAAAAAAGGCCUCUUCACUUGCUGCAGCCCAUCCCUUGCCGGAAGCAGUAUUCUCAGGUUUAUCUCACACAAUUACGGGUUUUUCCCGUUUUCUUUUGAGUUGCACGGUCUGUUUGGUUCCCCAGAAAACGCAGGAAAUUUUUGAAAGUUUUUGAGCUUCUGUAGGGUUUACUAAAGUGAAUACUUGACUAGGUUCAGUUGGGUUGCUGAUAAAUUCAAACAACGAAAUUUAGACGCGAAUGCUUUUAAUUGAUUUGAAGAGAAGUUUCUGAGCUAGUUUAUUGCUUUUGAAUGUUCAAAUUGGAUCCUAUAAAUGUGUCUGUGUGAUAAUUAGAUGAUUUGUUGCUUGCAGUAUGGAAGCACGAGAGAAUUCCAUAUAUGUGAUGAUGCCAGUUGAUGCCUUUUGCAUUGAUGGUACAGGGCGUCCAAGGAUUAGGAAGUAAGGUCAUCUCCAACCGAAGGGUCCAGAGGGCCAGAGGGCCGAAAAUAGCCCUAAAACCGUCUCCAACCGAGGGCUAGGCCAGAGGGCUCUGGAAUCUGGGAGGGCCCCACGGGAUCGGAGAGGGCUGGAGGGCUGGCUGCUUUCGGCCAGCCAGCCAGCCCCGGGCUGGCUUAUUUUUUUUUUAAUAGUUCUACUAUUAGUGUCGGUUAUAACCGACACUAAUAGUUUGAAUGUUUUUUAAUACAACGGCUAGUAGCCGUUGUAUUAUUAGGCCUUUUUUUUUUUUUUUUUUUUUUUAACUUUUUAUUUUCCCUUUUUUUUUCCUUUUCAUAUUAAUCAAAUUUUGUUUCAUAUUUUUUUUCAAUUCUAUUUUACAAAAUUUGUUUCAAUUUUUUUUUAAAUUCUAUUUUUUUCCUAUAACUUCUAUUUUACAAAAUUUGAUUCAUAUUUUAUUUCCUAUAACUUCUAUUUUACAAAAUUUGAUUCAAAAUUUGUUGACGUCACCUAGCCGUUAGAUUUGAAUUUAAAUUGUAGUUUUUAAAUAAUAAAUUAUGUUUGGCCCUAUGGCCCUUUGGCCCUCGGUUGGAGACGGUUUUUUGUGACAGGGCUAAAACGAGCCCUCUGGCCCUCUGGCCCUCGGUUGGAGACGGAGGCAAAUAUGGCCAUGUACUGUUUAUUAAAAUAUUAAUAUCUUGGAGAAUCUUGGAGGGCCAGAGGGCUAAAACGAGCCCUCUGGCCAGUCAUCGGUUGGAGAUGGCCUAAGUUUUAUUAUGACUUUAUGUUGAUGAGGCUAUGAUGCAUUUUCAUUCUUAAUUUAAUUGUUGUACUCUUUUAAACGACAGAAUAUGAUUAGCUACAAGGUUGCAGCUAACUAUUUUGAUCUGUUCCCAAUUCAAGUUAUGUACGCGUACAUUUCAAAAUGGUUCUAAAUAAAAUUUAUUUUUAAUUUAGUUUCCUUUCAAGUGAGACAGAAUCUCCUUAUAUAUUGCACGAUUUAUUGUUGUUUCAGAAUCAAGGCCUUAACUGUAGCUCUGAAAGCACUCAAGUUGGCUGGUGUCCACGGAAUUGCAGUUGAGGUUUGGUGGCCUCUUGCAUAUGAUUGGUCUCUAUAUGAAGGGCUUUUCAAACUGAUUUCUGACUCAGGUUUGAAGUUGCAUGUUGCCUUGUCUUUUCACUCAAACGUUAACUCUUCUUCUAGCAGAAAAGGGGGUGUAACUCUUCCGCUUUGGAUCAUAGAGGUUUGUUUUCUCGGCAAUUUUGAAAUCCCAUUUGACUGUUUGGCCUUUUAUUGGUAAAAGUGCACAUGGCUGUACUGGAAUGAUUAAUUUACCCAGUCAUACUCUUUUGUGACAACAUAAGAAACAUAACCCAUUUGGAUGACUAGAGAUAGUAUCAACUUUUCUUCAGUUUCCUGCUCUGCAACAUGCUAUGGUCCUGUGUUCCCCAUUAGCAUACUUGAUUUUAGCUUUGAUGUGCAUAAAAAGUUUAUCUUUGCAAAGGGAUGUAACAGAAAAAUGAUAGUUUGGCCUUCAUUACAUGCCCAUCAGUUUGAAUCCUGAAUUUAGAUAAAGAAGUUGACCUCUUCUGUUUUUUUUUUCCUCCCAGAUUGGUGAUCAGAAUAAGCAUAUAUAUUAUCGGGACCAAAAUGGAUUUUCCAAUGAUGAUUAUCUUACACUUGGAGUUGACCAUGUUCCUCUCUUUUGCGGCCGGACUGCUCUCCAAUGUUAUGAAGAUUUCUUGUCAGGUUUUGCUAAGAAAUUUGAAUCCUUAAUUGGAACUGUGAUAGAAGAAAUUGGUGUUGGUCUUGGAUGUUACUGUUACACUAGAACCACAAGUAUGAAGCCAGUCCAAUGAUUUCUUAUGCAACAUUGUUACAUUGCUCACACUGAUAUCCUGCACAUCCUUUUGGUGAUGGUAGAUGGAAGUUUCCUGGAAUCGGUGAAUUCUAAUGCUAUGACAAGCGCAUGUAUGCUAAAAAUCUUUCAUUCCUGUGACAGAAAUUUGGUUGCUAUUGAACUUUUCCUAUUUACAACGUUGUUCCUUUUAGGAUGGGCGACCUAAAGAUGGCUGUAGGCAAGGAAGGAAAGCCUCAGUGGGGAGGGAAGGGACCACAAAAUGCUGGCUGUUACAACAGUCUCCCAUCUGAAGUUCCAUUCUUUGAAGAGGGAGAGGAAAGCAUUCUUUCUGAUUAUGGGUGUUUUUUCCUUGUAUGAAACUGAUGGAAGCAUCUUGCUUUAUUAUUUCCCAUGAAAAAUUUCUGCAUAACUGAAGCCUAGUGUAAAUUGCAUGAAAUCAUUGUUUGUAUUUCAUCCUCGAACUACCACAUUGUUUCUUUAGCCAGGAAACACUUCUGUGUACGUGCCUGUAAACAACAUGGGCCUGCAAUAUAUAUUUUCAAUCUUUAGUGGAACUUUUCUUAUAACUAACUCUAUUUGCUUCUAGGGGUUAUACUUGCAGACUGUUUGCUACUGGAGUCUUAAAUACUCUUACGCAACAUGAUUAAAAGUAGAUGCAAUUUGAUUAAGAAUGAAAUGCAUUGAUGCUUGUCUUCUGGAAAGAAAAAAAAAUCAUCAUAGGAUGUACUGGUUAGUAAACUAAGGACAAUUAUGGAUGUAUAAGUGGAAAUUUAAAUCAUGUAUGGUUCUUUAUCAUGCAAUACUUGGCAUAACAUAAUUAAACUUAUUGGAAAACAAUGUGGAGCUUAGGAGAUCUGACAGUGGCUUGACUUGUUGUAGGAAUGGUACAGUGGUCGGUUGCUCCAUCAUGCAGAUGAUAUUCUUGCAAAGGCAGCUAACAUUCUGAAGAAAUAUCAAGAAUAGAAGCAAACUUCUAUUCUAUUGGCAGCUAAAAUUGGUGGUACCAGAUGAGAGCACAGCCUGCUGAAUUGACAGCUUGAAACUACAGCAGUGCUCUUAAAGAUGGUUAUGAUCAUGUUGCUUCAAUUUUGUCUCGUCAUGGAGCUGCUUUGCAUGUUUCGUAAGAUUCCAAGUUUUAAGGUUCUGACUAGAAUUUUGUUCAUUGUCUAACCUGAUAAUUAGGGUUGCUUACACAUUCGCUUGAUUUCAAAUGUAUCUAUCUACCAUGUUCACGUACUAAAUAUUUUAUUGCAGCAGCUUAGAAAUGAUGGAUGGUGAUAACCCGGCAUCCUAUCUUUGCAGUCCAGAAGGAUUACUCCAACAGGUACGGGGCCUGUUAAUUAAUAACACUUCCUUAGCUUGUGCUUUGUUGGUACUUUUUUUAACUUACUUUAGAAAUUUUAUCUGUAUAAUUCAAGCUUUUAAGUUAGGUAGGACUAACCCAUGUAGCUGUGCUUGUCACAGCAGGUCGUGCAGGGUCUCUAGGUUCAACAUGGGCUUGGAACGGGCCAAUAUGAGCUUUUUCAGUAUUACAGAUAUUAGGUAUUGUUGAUAUGUUUUUUAGGCUUCUUUUAGUGUCUUAUAAUUCAUUCUGAAGUAAAUCUUUAGUUUUAAUUGGGUUGUCUUGCCCAGAUAAUAAAGAAGAAACAUAUGACAAGUUGAUCAAUAACCAUUUUUCUGUUUUAUUGAAGUUUGGAAUAUAAUUGAUAAUUUGAUAUUACUAAACAACAAAAAUAGAAUUGCAUCACUAUACCGUAUAUUAGUGUCGUACUACUUUAGAUUGGCAUGGUCUGUCCAUUUACACUGGUGGGUGGUGGUAGUGCCUAGUGGUGGCUUCUGUUGUCUAGAAUUCUAUCGGUCAUUUGGUUUCUUCGAUAAAAUGUCUGACCUUAUGCUUUGUUUAUUGGGUAUAUAUCAUAUUAUACAAUUCCAAUGUAGUCUAACAUGAUUCGAUUUGCACCAGAUAUGGAGUGUUUCAAAGAAAUGGGCACAUUUGAUCGGGAGAAAUACCAAUGAAGGAUUUGACAGGGUCAGUUCUUCCUUUGCUCAAGAACAAAAGCAAAUUUCAGCUACCAUUUAUUUCUAUUAGACAUAUAUUGGAGACUUGGGAGCAGCCUCUCCAUAAAUGGAGAUAAGGUUAGCCGACAUUCACCUCUCCCAGACCCUGCGUAAAGCGGGAGCCUUGUGCACUGGGUACGACCUUAGACAUAUAUUGGAUAUUGCAAAUGUCUUAUAACUAGAAACACAUGGCUUCUGAUAGCGUUAGUUAAACACUUCUUCUUUUGCCCAUUCUGUGUUGCGCGUUCACGCGUCUGCUUUUCUCUUGCACGUUGGUUUAUGGCAAAUACAUACUAACUAUUACCAUUCCCAGGCCGAAGCUGUAAGAUCAUUUACAUAUUUCAGAAUGAAUGAUAAGAUCUUUAGGGCUGAAAAUUGGAGUAAUUUCCUUCCUUUUGUUAAAAAGAUGAGCACAAAUUGGUGAAGCAACCAAAAAACCCAACUUAAAUACUAAAUUUAUUGAUCUAGAGUAGCAGCCUCACUACCCUAUAAUUUUUUGUCAAGGGCAUGUGUAGAAGUUAAGAAGUUUGUCACUUCCUGAUAUAUUGACUGAAAUAACUUUGUGUUUCCAUGGCAGGCGUUCUUGACCUGGAAGUGUAAAUUUUUGAAACGGAUUUGGUUGGCCGUAGAAACUAAAUGCUUUACUAUCAAAAUACGAGAAGAAUAAUUGGAAUUGCAAUCUUGGUACUACUGGUCACAUUGCCUAGUCAAAUACAGGUACAACAUUUCAAUUUAAGGAAUAUACACAUACUGUCAUAUCCGUCACUAUACGAAAAUAAUGUAGUCUUUGCAGAUCGAAAACAACAAUAAGAAAAUGGAUCCGAAAAUAUAGAGAACAAAAAGAACUAAGAGUUCACUCCUUCACAGUCCUUCAAAUACUUAGUCUUGAUUUUGGUGAGUGUGAUUGCAGCAUCUUCUUCACAGUCCUUCAAAAACUUAGUCUUGAUUUUGGUGAGUGUGAUUGCAGCAUCUUUCAUGUUAAUCCUCUCUCCCGGCAAUGCUGCAGUACAAGCUAAAGCUAAUCUCAUAACGGAUGAUAAGCAAUCCCUCUUGCUCACAAAAUCACCAUCUUCCUCCGCCCCAAGUAUAUCGGCAUCCACAACUUCACCUAUUGCAGCAUCUGGAAAUAAUGAAUCUGCAAUCCAUUGCUUUAAAUUCAUUUCCCCAACAAACAUCUCAUCCGUUGGCUUCCUUUUUGUGAAUGUCUCCAUGAGUACAAUACCAAAACUAUACACAUCCCCUCUUGUCGAAACGCUUCCUUCCAUCCCAAACUCUGCAAAAUUUGUAUGUGAAUUUAGUUAUAUAUGAUAAAAAGAAAAUUAUAACUCCUAAUAAGACCAACAUAUACAAAAUUGAGAAAAUACAUCACCUGGAGCCAUAUAUCCAACUGUGGCUAGGGUCAUGGUUUCUGUCAUCGAAUGUCCACCGCCGAUGAGUCUUGCAAUGCCAAAAUCAGCAACAUGUGCAACCAUAUCAUCAUCUAGUAGUAUAUUGCUUGGUUUCACAUCACAAUGAACAAUAGGUACCGAGUAACCAUGAUGAAGAUAUUCCAGUGCCAAUGCAACAUCUUUCAUUACGUCCAGCCUCUGCAGGAUAUUCAUGGAGCUGUUUGGAGAAUACAACCAGUUUUCGAGGCUUCCAUUAGGCAUCAAUUGAAGUAUCAGGGCUUUGAAAUCAAGUUCAUCGCAGCAACUUAUGAUUUUAAUAAGAUUCCGGUGACGGAUAUUGCUUAGCAUUUCACAUUCCCUAUCAAAACUUUU
This 42804-nucleotide long non-coding RNA is filed under the name Malus domestica (apple). RNAcentral's name for it is "long non-coding RNA (MDOM_LNC003189)". Lineage: Eukaryota; Viridiplantae; Streptophyta; Magnoliopsida; Rosales; Rosaceae. The record is from RNAcentral.